CCAACGAGUGGCGGACGGGUGAGUAACACGUAGGUAACCUGCCCAGAAGCGGGGGACAACAUUUGGAAACAGAUGCUAAUACCGCAUAACAGCGUUGUUCGCAUGAACAACGCUUAAAAGAUGGCUUCUCGCUAUCACUUCUGGAUGGACCUGCGGUGCAUUAGCUUGUUGGUGGGGUAACGGCCUACCAAGGCGAUGAUGCAUAGCCGAGUUGAGAGACUGAUCGGCCACAAUGGGACUGAGACACGGCCCAUACUCCUACGGGAGGCAGCAGUAGGGAAUCUUCCACAAUGGGCGCAAGCCUGAUGGAGCAACACCGCGUGAGUGAAGAAGGGUUUCGGCUCGUAAAGCUCUGUUGUUAAAGAAGAACACGUAUGAGAGUAACUGUUCAUACGUUGACGGUAUUUAACCAGAAAGUCACGGCUAACUACGUGCCAGCAGCCGCGGUAAUACGUAGGUGGCAAGCGUUAUCCGGAUUUAUUGGGCGUAAAGAGAGUGCAGGCGGUUUUCUAAGUCUGAUGUGAAAGCCUUCGGCUUAACCGGAGAAGUGCAUCGGAAACUGGAUAACUUGAGUGCAGAAGAGGGUAGUGGAACUCCAUGUGUAGCGGUGGAAUGCGUAGAUAUAUGGAAGAACACCAGUGGCGAAGGCGGCUACCUGGUCUGCAACUGACGCUGAGACUCGAAAGCAUGGGUAGCGAACAGGAUUAGAUACCCUGGUAGUCCAUGCCGUAAACGAUGAGUGCUAGGUGUUGGAGGGUUUCCGCCCUUCAGUGCCGGAGCUAACGCAUUAAGCACUCCGCCUGGGGAGUACGACCGCAAGGUUGAAACUCAAAGGAAUUGACGGGGGCCCGCACAAGCGGUGGAGCAUGUGGUUUAAUUCGAAGCUACGCGAAGAACCUUACCAGGUCUUGACAUCUUGCGCCAACCCUAGAGAUAGGGCGUUUCCUUCGGGAACGCAAUGACAGGUGGUGCAUGGUCGUCGUCAGCUCGUGUCGUGAGAUGUUGGGUUAAGUCCCGCAACGAGCGCAACCCUUGUUACUAGUUGCCAGCAUUAAGUUGGGCACUCUAGUGAGACUGCCGGUGACAAACCGGAGGAAGGUGGGGACGACGUCAGAUCAUCAUGCCCCUUAUGACCUGGGCUACACACGUGCUACAAUGGACGGUACAACGAGUCGCGAACUCGCGAGGGCAAGCAAAUCUCUUAAAACCGUUCUCAGUUCGGACUGCAGGCUGCAACUCGCCUGCACGAAGUCGGAAUCGCUAGUAAUCGCGGAUCAGCAUGCCGCGGUGAAUACGUUCCCGGGCCUUGUACACACCGCCCGUCACACCAUGAGAGUUUGUAACACCCAAAGUCGGUGG
Molecule: ribosomal RNA, 1359 nt
Filed under: Limosilactobacillus fermentum
Lineage: Bacteria; Bacillati; Bacillota; Bacilli; Lactobacillales; Lactobacillaceae
Description: bacterial SSU rRNA
Rfam family: Bacterial small subunit ribosomal RNA
Source: RNAcentral